Molecule: unclassified non-coding RNA, 344 nt
Filed under: soil metagenome
Description: partial contains 5.8S ribosomal RNA, internal transcribed spacer 2, and large subunit ribosomal RNA
Rfam family: 5.8S ribosomal RNA (bases 1-119)
Source: RNAcentral
GAUGAAGAACGUAGCAAAAUGCGAUACGUAAUGUGAAUUGCAAAUUCAGUGAAUCAUCGAGUCUUUGAACGCACAUUGCGCCCCCUGGUAUUCCGGGGGGCAUGCCUGUCCGAGCGUCAUUGCUGCCCUCAAGCACGGCUUGUGUGUUGGGCCCCGUCCUCCGAUCCCGGGGGACGGGCCCGAAAGGCAGCGGCGGCACCGCGUCCGGUCCUCGAGCGUAUGGGGCUUUGUCACCCGCUCUGUAGGCCCGGCCGGCGCUUGCCGAUCAACCCAAAUUUUUAUCCAGGUUGACCUCGGAUCAGGUAGGGAUACCCGCUGAACUUAAGCAUAUCAAUAACGGAGGA